GCCUGAGUGGCGGAAUUGGUAGACGCAGCGGAUUCAAAAUCCGCCGGUGGUGACACCGUAAGAGUUCGAGUCUCUUCUUAGGCACCA
Molecule: transfer RNA, 87 nt
Filed under: Suttonella indologenes
Lineage: Bacteria; Pseudomonadati; Pseudomonadota; Gammaproteobacteria; Cardiobacteriales; Cardiobacteriaceae
Also listed under: 1 other name
Description: tRNA-Leu(caa)
Rfam family: tRNA
About the family: Transfer RNA (tRNA) molecules are approximately 80 nucleotides in length.
Source: RNAcentral